ACUAUGCUUGGCCCUAAACCUCAGUAAUUAAAUAACAAAACUACUCGCCAGAAUACUACAAGCAACAGCUUAAAACUCAAAGGACUUGACGGUGCUUUACACCCCCUAGAGGAGCCUGUUCCAUAAUCGAUAAACCCCGAUCCACCCCACCCUCUCUUGCUUAGCCUAUAUACCGCCAUCUUCAGCAAACCCUGAUGAAGGUCACAAAGUGAGCGCAAACGCCACCACCGCGAAGACGUUAGGUCAAGGUGUAGCCUAUGAGACGGUAAAAAAUGGGCUACAUUUUCUAUCUCAGAAAACUCUACGAAAACCCCUAUGAAACCUGGGGGUCCAAGGAGGAUUUAGUAGUAAAUUAAGAAUAGAGUGCUUAAUUGAACCAGGCCAUAAAGCGCGCACACACCGCCCGUCACUCCUCUCAAAUAUAUUUAAGGAACAUCUUAACUAAACGCCCUAAUAUUUAUAUAGAGAGGAUAAGUCGUAACAUGGUAAGCGUACUGGAAGGUGCGCUUGGAUAAAU
This 517-nucleotide ribosomal RNA is filed under the name Macaca sinica (toque macaque). Its description in RNAcentral is "partial 12S ribosomal RNA". It matches the Rfam family "Bacterial small subunit ribosomal RNA", at positions 789 to 1533 of the family's 1533-position model. The record is from RNAcentral. Lineage: Eukaryota; Metazoa; Chordata; Mammalia; Primates; Cercopithecidae.